Molecule: long non-coding RNA, 1130 nt
Organism: Arabidopsis lyrata subsp. lyrata
Lineage: Eukaryota; Viridiplantae; Streptophyta; Magnoliopsida; Brassicales; Brassicaceae
Exons: 3
Source: RefSeq, a predicted model, not a curated record
ACAAAAACAAAGUGAAGAGGUGGACACGUGUCGCGUUUAUCUCCUUCGUUUCUCUCUCUCUUUGCCGACUGCGAAAACACGAAAUCAAAUUGAUUUUUUGCAAAUCGAUUUCUCCUCCGAUUAUUGUUACAUCCGGUGAAUCGGAGAGAGUUAUCACAAGCAUCUCAACGGACGGCGGUUCUCCACGGCGCCUGUGGGUCAUGCGAUCAUGGUGGCUGCUACUGAUUGUCCUAACAAAUUCAAAUCCAGAGGAGACAAAAUCGCCGAGCUUUUAUUCUCCUGCAGAGUGAGUCGUUGCAUCGGAUGCGACCAUCUUGAAUUGUCUAUUCACGGAGACGACGAGGCUAAUCGCGGCCGUGGAACCACCGGUGACGGCGGUGGUGGUACGGCGGUUGAUGAAGAUUAUGAGGUUGGUGGUAGUAAAGAGAGCAAAGCUAAUAGUAGCAGAGGAGAUAAUAAUCAUAUAUCGAUGAGACGAAUUUGAAUAGUAAUCAGAUUGUUAGUAAUUUAUACAUUUGAUGAAGCUCACGCUUUGAGUGAUGAGAUUGAAGAGUUAUCUGUGGUUUCUAAGGAUGUUGCUAGUAUCAAAGAGAUCUUGCUCAACAAAGAAGAUGAUCCAAACUCGGUGUUACUCGAUUCUUUAAGACAUCUUAAGUUGAUGUCUUUGAAUGUGGAUAUUCUUAAGGUUGGUUUCUUGGUGGAUAGUGUUUGAUUACUUGGACUUUGACGGAAAAAAAUGUUUGUGAUCUUGCCAUUGCGGAGCACAACUUCAGACAUAAUAUUGAUAAGCAAGCUUCUGUUUUAAGAAGAGAGCUAGAGAAGUUCGAUGAAGCAGUUUCCGAAGGGAUGUUGUGCUUUGAUCCAACUCAUGCAAUGUUUGAGUCCAUUCAUUUGCUUAUGUUAAACGUAUGAAAUUUUAUUAAGUAAUGUCUUUGACUUUCUAGAAUGUGUUCAAUGUGUUUUUGCUGUAGAAAACACGAAAUUUGUGUCUUGUAUAGGCCAAGUAGAAGACACCAUAUUUCUGUCUUGAUUAUGUUUUUGAAUUACAUACAUUCUUCAUAGUAAUUGGAUUUGGUGAAUUACAUAAACUGUGAUUAUGAAUCUUUGUUUUGCAUUUGAGAAGUUGUUGA